GGAAGCAGAAUGACUCAUGACGUUACAUAGUCGCCUACGAGCCAAUGAUGAGCAAACGAGGCAGCGAAUCGUGCAGCUGUAGGCUUGCAGCAGGUUGGCGGGCGAAUGGUCAUAAAGAGAAGAUAACAGGCAUGUCGAGUGCUGUGAGUAUUCCAUUCAUUUAGACAACUACGUUUCCAAGAUCAUCAAGAGAUCAUAGUGUGACAGAUGGGAGAACACACACACACCUCAAUGGAUGACAUAUUAUAAUUACGGAGACUAGUUGUAAGGAUAAUGGAGUGCAAUUUUCUGAUUCAGUGAUCUGCAGGUUUGAAGAACUAAUAUUGUGUAGAAAAUGGCAAUCGAA
Molecule: long non-coding RNA, 346 nt
Organism: Triticum aestivum (bread wheat)
Lineage: Eukaryota; Viridiplantae; Streptophyta; Magnoliopsida; Poales; Poaceae
Exons: 3
Source: RefSeq, a predicted model, not a curated record